Molecule: ribosomal RNA, 472 nt
Filed under: uncultured bacterium
Lineage: Bacteria
Description: bacterial SSU rRNA
Rfam family: Bacterial small subunit ribosomal RNA
Source: RNAcentral
ACUCCUACGGGAGGCAGCAGUAGGGAAUCUUCCACAAUGGACGAAAGUCUGAUGGAGCAACGCCGCGUGAGUGAAGAAGGGUUUCGGCUCGUAAAACUCUGUUGUUAAAGAAGAACAUAUCUGAGAGUAACUGUUCAGGUAUUGACGGUAUUUAACCAGAAAGCCACGGCUAACUACGUGCCAGCAGCCGCGGUAAUACGUAGGUGGCAAGCGUUGUCCGGAUUUAUUGGGCGUAAAGCGAGCGCAGGCGGUUUUUAAGUCUGAUGUGAAAGCCUUCGGCUCAACCGAAGAAGUGCAUCGGAAACUGGGAAACUUGAGUGCAGAAGAGGACAGUGGAACUCCAUGUGUAGCGGUGAAAUGCGUAGAUAUAUGGAAGAACACCAGUGGCGAAGGCGGCUGUCUGGUCUGUAACUGACGCUGAGGCUCGAAAGUAUGGGUAGCAAACAGGAUUAGAUACCCUGGUAGGAAAGCC